This 22-nucleotide microRNA is filed under the name Canis lupus familiaris (dog). Its description in RNAcentral is "Cfa-Novel-23_5p* (star (passenger))". The record is from RNAcentral. Lineage: Eukaryota; Metazoa; Chordata; Mammalia; Carnivora; Canidae.
UGUUCCAAGCAGCUGUCUGCUU